GAUGGUGGGUCACUGUUAUUCUUGAUGCUGAUAAUUUGGGGACUCUCUCUCCCAACAGUAUCUACACAUGGUCUCUUCCAGGAUUCAAGAACACAAAUCAGCUGGUCUCUACAGUCCAGGAGAACGUGCAGUUAGACCUUUUCUUAAGACAUCGUAAUAUGGUUCACCGUGGAACAAAGAAGAUUGAAAAGGGCCCAUCGGCUUUUUCCUGCCGAUGGGAAAAUACAGGUUAAGAAAUGAAAUUACCUGGUUACAAAUUCAAGAAAAGUAGGACAACGUUGGGCUGAG
This is a long non-coding RNA of Neofelis nebulosa (Clouded leopard), 288 nucleotides long. RefSeq lists it as uncharacterized. The record is from RefSeq and is a predicted model, not a curated record. The transcript has 2 exons. NCBI's taxonomy places the organism in Eukaryota, Metazoa, Chordata, Mammalia, Carnivora, Felidae.